AUUAAUAAGCGGAGGAAAAGAAACUAACCAGGAUUCCCCUAGUAACGGCGAGUGAAGCGGGAAUAGCCCAGCACCGAAUCGCACGCCGUCAGGCGUCGCGAACUGUGGUGUUUAGGACGAGCGCAUGUACGUCGGAGCGGCGUCCGAGUCCUCCUGAUUGGGGCUUUGCCAUAGCGGGUGUCAGCCCUCUACGGCGCCGCGACGACGUGCCCGCCACGUCCUCGGAGUCGGGUUGUUUGAGAAUGCAGCCCAAAGCUGGUGGUAAACUCCAUCUAAGGCUAAAUACAGACACGAGUCCGAUAGCGAACAAGUACCGUGAGGGAAAGUU
RNAcentral lists this ribosomal RNA (328 nucleotides) under Branchiura sowerbyi. Its description in RNAcentral is "eukaryotic LSU rRNA". It matches the Rfam family "Eukaryotic large subunit ribosomal RNA", at positions 42 to 365 of the family's 3401-position model. The record is from RNAcentral. Lineage: Eukaryota; Metazoa; Annelida; Clitellata; Tubificida; Naididae.